This 838-nucleotide long non-coding RNA is filed under the name Prunus dulcis (almond). RNAcentral describes it as "sRNA ncRNA". Lineage: Eukaryota; Viridiplantae; Streptophyta; Magnoliopsida; Rosales; Rosaceae. The record is from RNAcentral.
UUAUUAAUUAAUAACGAAAACAAAUACCAUUAUAACUCUAUAACAAAUCCAAUCGCCACACAGAUACAACGAAUGAAAAGAAUAUGAAAACCCACAAAUCAAAAACUAACUAGUCGCAUCCAAAUGCGGAAGAUGCAGCCUGGAUGCUUAGCUACUUCGCUCACUUGCAUUCUAAAGAUUUGAGGGUCUUGGCUGUCACAUCAAAAGCUAUGGUGCAGUUCAUGUUGGCGGCCUUCUUCUUCUUCAUGAUGAACAUAAUUGCAACUUUUCCGUUCAAUCUUCCUACGCUGUUGAGCGUCAACACCCCGCUGCUCAAUUCACUUCCAAAGUUUGAACCAGUUAUUGCAUUUGAAUUCAAACUCACCUCCGCAUUUCUUUUUAUGGUCGAAAGCCAUCCAGCCUUGCCCUUUGCGAUAUCAAUUACUGCCAGAGUCGCUCCUUGGUGUUGAAACGUGAUAUUGGCAGCAUUGAACUUGUAGGAACCCCAGUUGGCUGAGUUCUUGAUCUUGAUUUGGGUUGUGAAUUUCGUGUCGAAUGAAGGCGCUGCCGAGUCAGAUACGAAGCUUUCGACGUUGAUGUUGCCUAGCCUGAACCUGGGAGUUUUCACUUUCAUGACAGUGAGACUCAUUGUGGUGAUAACUAUGACCUGAAACACAACGAAAAUAGUAAUAUAGAUGGCCAAUUUGAUUUUCUUCUGGCGUUUCAGCUCGUCAGCGGAAUGCAAAGAUUCUGCAUCACCCAUGUUGAUUUCUUUUAGUGGAAGGAAGGAAAGCUUCAAAAGAAAAUGCUCUGCUUUUUCUCUGUUUCGCUCUGUAAAAUAUGAAGGGAUGAGAAAGUG